This 468-nucleotide ribosomal RNA is filed under the name uncultured bacterium. RNAcentral's name for it is "partial 16S ribosomal RNA". It matches the Rfam family "Bacterial small subunit ribosomal RNA", at positions 28 to 507 of the family's 1533-position model. The record is from RNAcentral.
GAUGAACGCUGGCGGCGUGCUUAACACAUGCAAGUCCAACGGAAAGGCCCAAGCUUGCUUGGGUACUCGAGUGGCGAACGGGUGAGUAACACGUGGGUGAUCUGCCCUGCACUUCGGGAUAAGCCUGGGAAACUGGGUCUAAUACUGGAUAGGACCACUUCUUGGAUGGUGUGGUGGAAAGUUUUUUCGGUGUGGGAUGAGCUCGCGGCCUAUCAGCUUGUUGGUGGGGUAAUGGCCUACCAAGGCGUCGACGGGUAGCCGGCCUGAGAGGGUGUACGGCCACAUUGGGACUGAGAUACGGCCCAGACUCCUACGGGAGGCAGCAGUGGGGAAUAUUGCACAAUGGGCGCAAGCCUGAUGCAGCGACGCCGCGUGGGGGAUGACGGCCUUCGGGUUGUAAACUCCUUUCGCUAGGGACGAAGCGUUUUUGUGACGGUACCUGGAGAAGAAGCACCGGCUAACUACGUG